GAUCCGGAGAAAAGGUCACUUUAUUCUCUCUGACCAGAAAAUAGGAGCGGCAGAAAGCAUAGUGGUGAAGCCUCAAGAUUUGGACUCAGAUGGACCUUUGUCAUGUACAAGUCAUUGGCUUUGGAAGGUGGGAAUUUGGAGACAGAGGCACAUGAAGAGCACCAUGUGAAGAUGAAGCCAGAGGUCGGGGUGAUACUUCUAAGAGCUGAGAAUGCCAAGAUUGUCAUGAACUACCAGAAGCCAGGGGAGGGGCCCGGACAGAGUCUCCCUCAUGGGCCUCAGAAGGAACCAACUCUGCUGACACCUUGAUCUUGACCAUCCAGCCCCAGAGCCAUUGGACAGUAAGUUUCCGUUGUUUAAGCCACCCAGUUUGUGGUACUUUCUUAUGGCAGCCCUAACAAACUAAGACACAGGAAAGCCUUGGGGGAAGGCGUUGCAUCUGUCUCUGAGAGGACAUAUUUGGGACCAAGUCCCUCCUGUGACAUCACGGCCAUCCGACGCGUCAUGACCUGUUUGACAGGUACACACCUCCCAGAUAAUAGGCACAGACAUCCUUGGGCAAGGCUGGCCUCUGUGAUGAGCCUGCACACACCUUCCCUGGGUGUGGCAGCUGUGCUAACACCAGUGAAGUGGCUCUGUCUGGGUGCAAGGCCCAGCUUCUCCUGAGGCUCCCUCUAGAUGACAAGCCCAGCCGCACUUACCAAAGCUUUCCCUGAGAUGGACCCCGGAACCCUGAAGUCUCCUGCAGAACUGAUUCAGUUGCACCCACCUCGUGGGAUGCCCUUUAAGGCUUUCCCUAAAUGAGAAGCCCAGUACCCCCUCAGUAUUCUUCUCUGGCAAGGGAGGAGCUCCAUCCCCACCAUAUUAUUUCCAGAAUAAAGAAGUCAACUCUCAGAAAGCUGCAUAUAGGAUGGUACUAUUUAUAUAGAAAACGUGGUCAAAAAAUUUUAUAAAAUGUUACAUAUUUUUCACAGGUACAUGUAGCAUACAUAUAUCCAGGCCUGGAAAGGUCACAACUAAACAAUAGUAGCCGUUUCUGGAGAAUAAUCCUGGGUUUGGAGGCUAUAGACAAAGAGAGCUUUGGCCUUACUUGUAAGGUUUUAAUUUCUUUCUUGUAUUUUUCUUUUUUUAAAAGAUAAAUAUGUUUGUAAAUUGUUUGUGUAAUUAAAAAUUAACUUUAAAAAACAAAAUUGGAAAACUAUAGUACGAUCCAAUUUUGGCUAAAAAUAUAGCUACAGCAAUAUAUAUACCGAGAAAAGCGGGGAAUACAUAUUGAAUUGUUGAAAGUGUGUAUCUCUGCAUAGGGUAGUGACAGGAUGGGAUUAUGGGAGGAUUUUGACUUCCUGUGACGGGUGUUAGGGCCUGAAUAUUUCUGUCCCAUCAAAUCCCUAUGUUGAAACCUAAUCCCUCAUGUGAGGGUAUUUGGAGGCAGGGCAUUUGGUGGCCCACCCUCCUAAAUGGGAUUAGUUCCCUUAUAAAAGAGGCCUGAGAGAGCUCUUUUGCCCCUUCCACCAUGUGAGGACGCAGUGAGAAGAUACUGUCUAUGAACUAGAAAGUGGGUCUUCACCAGACACGGAAUCUGCUGGCACUGUGAUCUUGGACUUCCUAGCCCUCAGAACUGUGAGAAAUAAAUUUCUGCUGUUUGUAAGGCA
RNAcentral lists this long non-coding RNA (1652 nucleotides) under Homo sapiens (human). RNAcentral's name for it is "HSALNT0291289". Lineage: Eukaryota; Metazoa; Chordata; Mammalia; Primates; Hominidae. The record is from RNAcentral.